RNAcentral lists this ribosomal RNA (662 nucleotides) under Vibrio cholerae. RNAcentral's name for it is "partial 23S ribosomal RNA". It matches the Rfam family "Bacterial large subunit ribosomal RNA", at positions 2270 to 2925 of the family's 2925-position model. Lineage: Bacteria; Pseudomonadati; Pseudomonadota; Gammaproteobacteria; Vibrionales; Vibrionaceae. The record is from RNAcentral.
UUGACUGGGGCGGUCUCCUCCCAAAGAGUAACGGAGGAGCACGAAGGUGGGCUAAUCACGGUUGGACAUCGUGAGGUUAGUGCAAUGGCAUAAGCCCGCUUAACUGCGAGAAUGACGGUUCGAGCAGGUGCGAAAGCAGGUCAUAGUGAUCCGGUGGUUCUGUAUGGAAGGGCCAUCGCUCAACGGAUAAAAGGUACUCCGGGGAUAACAGGCUGAUACCGCCCAAGAGUUCAUAUCGACGGCGGUGUUUGGCACCUCGAUGUCGGCUCAUCACAUCCUGGGGCUGAAGUCGGUCCCAAGGGUAUGGCUGUUCGCCAUUUAAAGUGGUACGCGAGCUGGGUUUAGAACGUCGUGAGACAGUUCGGUCCCUAUCUGCCGUGGGCGUUGGAAGAUUGAAGGGGGCUGCUCCUAGUACGAGAGGACCGGAGUGGACGAACCUCUGGUGUUCGGGUUGUGUCGCCAGACGCAUUGCCCGGUAGCUAAGUUCGGAAUUGAUAAGCGCUGAAAGCAUCUAAGCGCGAAGCGAGCCCUGAGAUGAGUCUUCCCUGAUACUUUAAGUAUCCUAAAGGGUUGUUCGAGACUAGAACGUUGAUAGGCAGGGUGUGUAAGCGUUGUGAGGCGUUGAGCUAACCUGUACUAAUUGCCCGUGAGGCUUAACCAUA